UACGUAGGGCGCGAGCGUUGUCCGGAUUUAUUGGGCGUAAAGAGCUCGUAGGCGGCUUGUCGCGUCGACUGUGAAAACCCGCGGCUCAACCGCGGGCCUGCAGCCGAUACGGGCAGGCUAGAGUUCGGUAGGGGAGAGUGGAAUUCCUGGUGUAGCGGUGAAAUGCGCAGAUAUCAGGAAGAACACCCGUGGCGAAGGCGGCUCUCUGGAACGCAACUGACGCUGAGACGCGAAGGCGUGGGGAGCAAACAGG
This 253-nucleotide ribosomal RNA is filed under the name uncultured bacterium. RNAcentral describes it as "partial 16S ribosomal RNA". It matches the Rfam family "Bacterial small subunit ribosomal RNA", at positions 524 to 776 of the family's 1533-position model. The record is from RNAcentral.